RNAcentral lists this long non-coding RNA (2359 nucleotides) under Homo sapiens (human). RNAcentral's name for it is "DCTN1 antisense RNA 1 (DCTN1-AS1)". The record is from RNAcentral. Lineage: Eukaryota; Metazoa; Chordata; Mammalia; Primates; Hominidae.
AACUUCAGCAAAAGCCAAAGCAGCCAACAAAGCCACAGCCCUAUCGGCUGUACUGGGCUCUGCCUUUUGGGCAGCUCGCCGGCCACUCCCCAAAAGCAGAGCAUUCCAUCCUUUCUCUUUUUAAACCCACGUCAUCAUCUGAUCAUAAUGGAAAUCAAUCUCCUCAAACCACCAUGCAAAGGCGUAUCCAUGGCAACCUCAAAAGGAAGGACACAGAGAUGAUGCUUCAGUGGCUGCAGCAGGAAAAGCUCUUCGCCUCUCGGUACCUUAAGUAUACCUGAGUAGCCAGUGGUCAACAUGGGUUUGCUGCUCUCCUCACUGCAAUAAAUGACGGAAACCUGUAGCUCAGUAUGGAUUCAGGGGCGCCUCAGACGCUCGCAGGAACGGAGGGGAGACCCUUGCAGUUCUGGAGGAACUCUAAGGCGCAGUCACUCUGAUCCCAGGAGAACAAUGCUAGGCUGAAGAGCUGAGCCCUGACUGAAAACUGCGCACCGACCGCAGCCGGGAUUACAUCAAUCAGGCACAAAGCUGGACACCUGGGACAGGAUAAGCGCACGCGCACUGUGCCUGGGAAGCCGAUUAGGACCAUAAGAAAUCGGCGUGUCGUGGCGAGCGCCCUCUUUCGGCGGAGGGGAGAAAGCGCAGAAGGGCUGGAGGACUUAUUUGCAAGUGUUAAACUGCUAAUUAAAACAAUAGCGAUAAACCAUAUCUCCUCCAUUAGCCUGGGGGAGAAAAUUAAAUGUUGCUGCUACUCAGUGUUACCUGUCAUAUGGGGAUACAGGCAUUCUCAUGCGCUUAUGAUGGGAAUGUAAAAUACAAAUUUACAUAAUGGCAUUUUAAAAUUUUAGACAUAGGUUCAAAUUCUUUUUUUUCUGUUUUUAAGACAAGGUCUCGCUCUGUUGUCUAGACUGGAGUGCGGUAGCACGCACAAUCAUGGCUCAUUGCGGCCUUGACUUCUCAGGCUCAGGCCAUCCUCCCACCUCUCAGCCUCCGUAGUAGCUGGGUCUGCAGGCGCGCACCACCAUGCCCUUUUAAUUUUCGUUUUUUGUUUUUUGUUUUUUUGUAAAGACGGGGUUUCACAAUGUUGCCCAGGCUGGUCUCGAACCCCUGGGCUCAAGCGAUCCAAUCGCUUCGGCCUCCCAAAGGGCUGGAAUUACAGACAUGAGCCACCGCACCCGCCUGGGUUCAAAUUCUAACUGCAAUUUACUAGCCGUGUGAAAUCUAGAGUUACUUAUUUACCCUCUCUGUGCCUCUGUUUUCUUAUUUGUUAAAGUGAGAAUGUAAAUGAUGGUACCUAUCUCAUUAUGUUGUUAGAAGGAUUAAGUUAAUCCAUGUAAAGAGCUGGAAAUAUAACUAUUGUAAUGUUAUAUUUAUUUCAGUUAAUCUCAGAUUUAAAACAAACUGAAAAAUUCAUAAAGUUGCUGUAAGGGGCAGUAAGCAGUAGAAGGGAUGCAUUGAGUAUCCCCUUUAUUACUCCCCCCUUUUCCCUAUUUCACCUUCUAAAUAUUUAUAAUUAUUAUUUUGAAUAGAUAAUACGUUUACAUGGCUCAAAAAUCAGAACACUAUUUUAGAAUAUACACAGAGAAACCUCCCUUCAACCCUGGUUCCCAUCGACUCCAUCCCCCUUGCCUGCUACAGAUAAUGCUUAUUAGUGUCUUCUUGUUUAUCUUUUCAGUGUUUUGUGCAAAUAUAAACUCAUAUGAAUAUAUAGUCUUACUCCUCCCAUUUCUUAUGCCAAAUGUAGCAUGCCAGAUACAAUUGGCAUAAGUUCUGUUCACUUAAUCUAUUCUGAAAAUCUUUCUAAAUCAAUAAAUUAGAGAUCUUCCUCAUUUUUCAGCUGCUUAGUACUCUAUUGCAUGGAUACACAUAAUUUAUUAACCAGUUUCUUCUAGUUACAUACUUUAUUUCCAGUCUUUUAGUAUUACAAUCUUGCAAUGAAUCACUUUGAACAUAAUGACAUUCCAAUGUGAGCAGGCAUAUCUCUAGGAUACAUCUUGGUCAAAUAAUAAAUGUAUCUAUAAUUUUAGUAGAAAUGUCUUCCAUCUCCUUCAAUUAAAGAAAAAUAAAAAGUAAAUAUAAAGACUUUAAAAGAUACUGCAUAUACAUAUUUUUAAUUGUCGUAAAGCAUACAUAACAUGAAAUUUACCAUUUUAACCAUGUUUAAGUUCAGUGGCACUCAGAACAUUCACAUUGUUGUGCAAUCAUCACCACUAUCCAUCUCCAGAACUUUUUCACCUUUCUGUACCAAAAACAAACAUGUAAGCAAACAAAACCCUCUGUGAUGAUCUGACAAAAAAACUAAAGUGUAUGAUAGAAUGUGUGUAGGUUAUAUAUAAAUAAAACACAGUUGGCCCUCUGU